AGGCCAUGUUGAGGGUAGUUCGUUAGCAUGCCUUUAUACCUCUCCAUGUUUCAUAAAAAUAUUCACAAUCGUUUUUUUGGAAGUUUGCUAUAUUAUUCUUGAGUUU
Molecule: small nucleolar RNA, 106 nt
Organism: Lactuca sativa (garden lettuce)
Lineage: Eukaryota; Viridiplantae; Streptophyta; Magnoliopsida; Asterales; Asteraceae
Source: RefSeq, a predicted model, not a curated record